RNAcentral lists this ribosomal RNA (351 nucleotides) under uncultured bacterium. RNAcentral's name for it is "partial 16S ribosomal RNA". It matches the Rfam family "Bacterial small subunit ribosomal RNA", at positions 77 to 422 of the family's 1533-position model. The record is from RNAcentral.
UUUCGGAAUGAGAGGGAGUGGCGGACGGGUGAGUAACACAUGGGUGACCUGCCCCGAAGUGAGGGAUACCGGCGAGAAAUCGCCGACAAGCCCGCAUGCGUUCUCUCUGGUCGUGCGGAGAGAGCAAAGUUUUACGCAAGUGAGACGCUUUGGGAUGGGCCUGUGGCCGAUUAGCUGGUUGGUGGGGUAAGAGCCUACCAAGGCGACGGUCGGUAGCUGGUCUGAGAGGACGAUCAGCCACACUGGGAUUGAGAACGGCCCAGACUCCUACGGGGGGCAGCAGUGAGGAAUUUUCGGCAAUGGGCGCAAGCCUGACCGAGCAACGCCGCGUGCAGGAGGACGCUUUUCGGA